This 502-nucleotide ribosomal RNA is filed under the name uncultured bacterium. RNAcentral's name for it is "partial 16S ribosomal RNA". It matches the Rfam family "Bacterial small subunit ribosomal RNA", at positions 355 to 844 of the family's 1533-position model. The record is from RNAcentral.
UGGGGAAUUUUGGACAAUGGGGGCAACCCUGAUCCAGCAAUGCCGCGUGUGUGAAGAAGGCCUUCGGGUUGUAAAGCACUUUUGUCCGGAAAGAAAUCGCCCUGGCUAAUAUCCGGGGUGGAUGACGGUACUGGAAGAAUAAGCACCGGCUAACUACGUGCCAGCAGCCGCGGUAAUACGUAGGGUGCGAGCGUUAAUCGGAAUUACUGGGCGUAAAGCGUGCGCAGGCGGUUGUGCAAGACAGAUGUGAAAUCCCCCGGGGCUUAACCUGGGGAAAUGGCCAUUUUGUGACUGCACGGCUAGAGUGUGUCAGAGGGGGGUAGAAUUCCACGUGUAGCAGUGAAAUGCGUAGAUAUGUGGAGGAACACCGAUGGCGAAGGCAGCCCCCUGGGAUAACACUGACGCUCAUGCACGAAAGCGUGGGGAGCAAACAGGAUUAGAUACCCUGGUAGUCCACGCCCUAAACGAUGUCAACUAGUUGUCGGGUCUUAAUUGACUUGGU